AAGACCUUGCGCUUUUGGAGCGGCCGAUGCCUGAUUAGCUUGUUGGUAAGGUAAAAGCUUACCAAGGCUUCGAUCAGUAGCUGGUCUGAGAGGACGGCCAGCCACACUGGGACUGAGACACGGCCCAGACUCCUACGGGAGGCAGCAGUGGGGAAUUUUGGACAAUGGGGGCAACCCUGAUCCAGCCAUGCCGCGUGAGUGAAGAAGGCCUUCGGGUUGUAAAGCUCUUUCAGCCGGAACGAAACGGUUACGGUUAAUACCCGUGAUUACUGACGGUACCGGAAGAAGAAGCACCGGCUAACUACGUGCCAGCAGCCGCGGUAAUACGUAGGGUGCGAGCGUUAAUCGGAAUUACUGGGCGUAAAGCGUGCGCAGGUGGUAUUGUAAGUCAGAUGUGAAAGCCCCGGGCUCAACCUGGGAACU
This 423-nucleotide ribosomal RNA is filed under the name uncultured bacterium. RNAcentral's name for it is "bacterial SSU rRNA". It matches the Rfam family "Bacterial small subunit ribosomal RNA", at positions 207 to 622 of the family's 1533-position model. The record is from RNAcentral.